ACGGAAGGCAGCAGCUAGGAAUAUUCCGCAAUGGACGAAAGCCUGACCCAGCAACGCCGCGUGAAGGAAGAAGGUCUUCGGAUUGUAAACUUCUUUUAUGAGGGACGAAGGACGUGACGGUACCUCAUGAAUAAGCCACGGCUAACUACGUGCCAGCAGCCGCGGUAAUACGUAGGUGGCAAGCGUUAUCCGGAUUUACUGGGUGUAAAGGGCGCGUAGGCGGGGAUGCAAGUCAGGUGUGAAAACUAUGGGCUUAACCCAUAAACUGCAUUUGAAACUGUAUCUCUUGAGUGCUGGAGAGGUAGAUGGAAUUCCUUGUGUAGCGGUGAAAUGCGUAGAUAUAAGGAAGAACACCAGUGGCGAAGGCGAUCUACUGGACAGUAACUGACGCUGAGGCGCGAAAGCGUGGGGAGCAAACAGGAUUAGAUACCCUGGUA
This is a ribosomal RNA of 437 nucleotides. It matches the Rfam family "Bacterial small subunit ribosomal RNA", at positions 341 to 792 of the family's 1533-position model.